ACACUAUUAUAUACGUAAACAUACCACCAACACUCGCACAAAAGAAAUGCAGAUUUAAAUUGAAGAAUCCGCAAAUAUUAAAUUCAAUCUUGACGUUUUUCAGUUGAGAUGAGAAACUCUUCAGAUCCACUAUAGUCCAAGUGCUUAUAUACGGAUACAAAAGUAGUUUUUGUAUAUGAAUGAGAGUAGCAUUGAAUUCUUCAGCAGUUGAAUUACAGCACGUCGUCAGCCAAAAAAAGGCGAGUAGUUCAAAAGCACACAUAGACAGAAGAGUUAUCCCUUUAAAAUAAAUUUCAAAGUUACCAUUAUUGAAAACUGCGUCAUUCAUAGUUAUUACUCCGAAAUAUGUUGCGAACACAGAGUAUGUCAGUACAGUAAUAAACUCAAGUAAGAUUACAAUCCCAUAGCUGUUGUUAUUCUCAUGUAUCACGUCAUAGAGUUCGCUGUGGACCAUUCGCAAGUCACGGAUUCUGCACACGUUACUAGAAUCCUUGUAAUUCUUCAAGUUAUCUGUCGUCAGAAAUAACUUAUUAGCGUUGUGGCUCUUAAAAGGUCCAGGAUUUCUCGAACAGCUGUCUGAGAGGACUUCCUUUAACAGUCACCUUCAUAGAACCGACAUCACCAAUGGCAAAUAACUCUGUGACAUCCAGCCCGAUUUACACAGCCGUAAAACCACUGCACUUGGUGUGCAAAAUAUUUGGACUACUACCAUGGUUGUUCAAGGAAGACCUUAUUAAGAAAACUGUGCCAAUUGCCUGUGAUUUAUUUAAUAUUACAUACAGCCUGUUAUGGGUAAUUUCAUUUUCUGUGGGAUUAUGUUGCCAUAUUCGUGAUAAUUCAUCUGAGGAUAUGAACAAUUUAAUGCCAAAACUACGUAUUAUUGAAAAUAUUGAUGUUAUUUUUACGUACCUUACUAGCAUUCUAUGUUUGGUUCAUAUGUCAGUAAUCAGUAAGAUAAAGUUUACUCAGUUACUUGAUAAAGUUUCAAAAUUGGACGGUAAACUUUUUAAUUUAAAAGAAGAACAGAGUGCUAAUAGGAAAACGAAAUUCAUUAUCAUAAUGGAAUUAGUAAAAUAUUACACUCGUCUCUUCAAUAAAUGUUGAAACCGAUAGUCAUGUAUCGAUAAGCCAAAAUAUCCAUUCUAUUAGGGCUUUAUACAACGGAAUAUACGACAUUGUUUGCCUUGUAAAUUCCCUUUAUGGAUUAUCAAUUCUUGCUAUUACGUGUUGCGUCUUGGUGGAACUCGUUUUCGUCACCUAUUACGCACUCUGUUGCUUCCAGAUCGAUUUCGUCGUAGAAAUAUUUGGCGAUAUAUUUCUGUCGUUGAUGUUUGUGAAAAUGGCCACUGUCUGCCAAUUUGCUGCAAACGAGGGAGAAACUUCAAGAAUUCUGGUGCAGAAAUUACUAUUAGAGGACGAUUUAAAAGAAGAAGAUUAUAAGGAACUGGCAAUGUUAUCGGCUCAGUUGAGGGAUAUGAAGAUUAGAUACAAAGCGUGUGGAUUUUUUACGUUGAAUCUUCCAUAUUUGUGCAGCAUGGUGGGCGCGAUAGUGUCAUAUGUAAUUAUUAUGGUUCAGAUACAAUGAGGCCACGUUAGUAGUGAAUUUGCAUUACGAAAUGCACUCUGGCGUGUUUACAACCAUUACUGAUAUAGCUUAUGAAAUUUGUUUUGUUUCUUGGUAAUUUGUACUUAAUUUAAUUGGUGCUUUCAAAAACACUGUUUAUACCUACACCUAACGUUAAUGUAAUCACAUAAUUUAAACUAAAUGCUUUGUAUUUGGAGGAACGUUUGAAAAGUACACAGUUUUUGAGUGAUUGUCUCUGGCGAUUGUCCCAUAACUAUGAUAAGGACGAAGGCGUGUAACAUUUAUUCUGUGACAGAUCCAUUUUAUAAGCUUUGCAAAGUUAUUGGCUUAUUUCCAAAUUACAAUACUGGACGUGUGAAAAGAGAUGAUGGGAAAAAUCUUGUUAGGUUAUGGGGUUUAUUGUGGUCAUUGACUGUGGUCACCAUUCUUGUGGUCUGCUUUGUCUACCGAAUAACAAAAACUAUUUUUGAAGAAUAUAAUUACGUUAAAUCUGUCAUAUGGGUUCCGGACAUAAUUGCGAGUUCCGUGACGUUCAUAUCAGGUAUAAUAUGCAUUAUAAUUAGUGCUAAUGGUCAGAGUGUUAAGCUGAAUGCUGUUGAACUGGAGAUCGACGCAAUUGAGAGACACUUCUGCGGUCUACAAGCAAAGAGUAACAAUUUCAAUAAACUUGGUCUCGCAUUAAUAAUUAUAGUCGUGUUUAUGGUUGUUCUUAUGGUAUCUACGAGUUAUGCAUACAUUUAUUUGUGGAGGUCAUAUUUUAAUUCAUAUGUUCUUUUUGGCGAACAUUAUUGCUAUAUUAUAUUUUAUUUAAUAUUUGUGAAGUACGUAUUUUAUGUUAGAGUCUUACAUGGAUAUUUCAAAGAAUUAAAUAUUCAUAUAAUGUCAGCGUUAGAUAAUAAAACAGUGGGGGAAUUUGAUAAAAUAGAGGAGCGUACUUUAAAUACCACUAAAUGUUUCGAAGUGGUUAUUAUUGAAGAUUUCCCUCUGAGAGACGCAGAAUACGAAAGCAAAUGCUUUCCAGAUUUGUCUGUAUCGAAGCGUCAAAAUAUGGUAGAUGUGCAGAUCUCAUACACAAAAUCAAGAAAUUGCAGAUUGAACUUUACGCUUUGACUCAACUAAUAAAUUCUACAUUCGGUUUUCAGAUUUUCCUAGUUUUAUCCGCGAUAUUCCUUAUGAAUACUUUUUCUUUCCAACUGAUGUCAUAUUUUAUAAUGAAUCUCGCCAGAAAUUACUAUGAUGUCGUUGAAACUACUUACCGAGGUUACAUUGCCAUCGUCUGGGGAACAAUGAAUUCCGUUCUACUCGUCAUUUUUUCUAUAGCCUGCGAUGAAACGAGCGAAGAAGCUGCUAAGUCUGUUCCACUCGUCUACUCGCUCCUCGUCGGUCUAGACGCCGAGAGUAGCUUGGCAGCUGAUCUUUGCUCAUUCUUCUCUCAGCUCACGAACUUAAAGAUUCAAUUUACGGCCUGUGGUUUGUUCACAAUCAAUCUACAAUUUCUUUUCUCUGUCAUAGGUGUCACUUGUACUUAUGUGAUUCUGUUGUAUCAGUUAAGCUGAAUAUCUUGUAGAAGAUGGUUUAAUUUUAUUUUAUUACUGUGUAAAGCACGUGUAUUUCCUCAGACUCUUGAUAUCGAUAUGAAAUAAAGUAAUUUAAACUGUG
Non-coding RNA from Zootermopsis nevadensis, 3244 nucleotides. Lineage: Eukaryota; Metazoa; Arthropoda; Insecta; Blattodea; Termopsidae. The record is from RefSeq and is a predicted model, not a curated record.